ACUGGUGGCUUAGCCGGAGGAGAAACUGGUGGUUUAACCGGGGGCUUAGUUGGGGGCUUGACUGGAGCUUUGGUAGGAGGGUAAACCGGGGGCUUGACCGGAGGUUUGGCUGGUGGGGAAACUGGUGGCUUGACCGGGGGUUUAGUCGGGGGUUUAACUGGAGCUUUGGUGGGAGGGUAAACCGGGGGCUUGACCGGAGGUUUGGUCGGUGGGGAAACUGGUGGCUUAACUGGGGCUUUGGUUGGAGGCUUAACUGGAGCUUUGGUAGGAGGGUAAACUGGGGCUUUGGUUGGGGGCUUGACAGGAGCUUUGGUGGGAGGGUAAACUGGGGGCUUAACUGGAGCUUUGGUAGGUGGAGACACUGGUGCCUUAACCGGGGGCUUAACUGGAGAUUUGGCCGGUGGGUGAGGGUGAGGGUGGGGGUGGUGGUGAUGGGGAGGGUGUGGGUGGUGGUGACCGUGGUGGUAAGGAGCUGGAGCAGGAGCUAGAGUAGGGGUUUGACUGACAUGGUUCACUUCUUCAGUGAAGGCAGAGGA
RNAcentral lists this long non-coding RNA (536 nucleotides) under Capsella rubella. RNAcentral describes it as "long non-coding RNA (CRUB_LNC004799)". Lineage: Eukaryota; Viridiplantae; Streptophyta; Magnoliopsida; Brassicales; Brassicaceae. The record is from RNAcentral.